Molecule: RNA transcript, 1309 nt
Organism: Epinephelus moara (kelp grouper)
Lineage: Eukaryota; Metazoa; Chordata; Actinopteri; Perciformes; Serranidae
Gene: borcs8
Gene name: BLOC-1 related complex subunit 8
Exons: 6
Source: RefSeq, a predicted model, not a curated record
AUGAUCGAUAUUUCCGUCCGGAACAUUAACGUGUGGCACAUGACAACAAAAAUACGGAAGAGGCUACAAUCACCUGACACAACUCGCGUAUAGCACCAUUGUGUUAUCCGUUUCUGACUGUGAUUGCCAGCCGACACAAUGGAGGACCAGGAGAUGCAGCUGAAAGUUAGACGAGUGACCGACAAAUUCACGGAGAGCAUGUACGUGCUGGCUAACGAGCCGUCGGUGGCUCUCUACAGACUGCAGGAACACGUCAGACGGUCGCUGCCUGAGCUGGUGCAACACAAGACGGACAUGCAGAGCUGGGAGGAGCAGAGUCAAGGUGCCAUCUACACUGUAGAGUACGCAUGCAGCGCCGUGAAGAGCAUGACGAACAGCAGCAUGUAUUUCAAAAACAUUGACAGCCUCCUCCGUCAGGCCAUCAGCAUGAAGGAGCAGAUUAGCAGCUCUCAAGGACGCAGACCCUUGCAUGAAGCUUACAUGACGUGACCCCCUCUCCCAGUCCCCCUGUCUCUGCUGCACAUGCCCCCACCACUUCCUCAUGACCUCUGGACAGAGGUGUCCAAGGAAAAGGACCAUGGACUCAGGCAUGCUAAAGGAAGGGGGAGAAAAGCACGGCUCUGGGAUGUGACGCGACUUCCUGAGCUGGCGGUGUUGCUUCUACAGUCCCUCGCUCCGCCACGUCUUGAUUGAGGCCGGAGCGGGGUCACAAGGGCGACACCUCCUCAUCACAAUGGAGUGACUGCCUCCAGUGACCUCCCCCAGUACAAGCCGCUCAGUGGAACAGAGCACCACAGCGCUGCCAGGUUCAGCAUUAAAAACACUUAAGUCAUGGACGCUGCUCAAAGAAUGCAUUGUUCUCGUGGACUGGCUGGACGAACCGGGGAGAGAGCAGCCGUGCUGGUUGUGCCUCUACUGUUGAAAAUCAACUGCAGCGCCAAUGUUUUGGACUCUAGUUUUCAGGGUUUUGUGAGUUUAUUGUUAAACGAUUAAGACUAAAAAGUACCCCGCAUGCAAAUUCUAAAAGCUUAACACACCUACAGAAGGAAUGCAGCAACAGGUGCCCAGUUCUUCUCUUUAUUUCAGAGUUAAAUAUAUGAGACGCCAGAUUGAGCAACAUGUUUUGAAAAGAAAAUUACUGUUCUCACCUGCCAAGUAGACAGAGACCCCGAGACAGAACAGUCCGAUAGCCACGUGUCGCACAGCUCUGCUAUCCAAAAGGAACCAGUCUGCUCUGUAGGAACAAAUGUCACAUGUUCAUGUUUACACUUUAACACUGCUGCUUAAUGAAGAUGAUUUUCUGCAACGU